Molecule: ribosomal RNA, 459 nt
Filed under: uncultured bacterium
Lineage: Bacteria
Description: partial 16S ribosomal RNA
Rfam family: Bacterial small subunit ribosomal RNA
Source: RNAcentral
CCUACGGGGGGCAGCAGUGAGGAACAUUGGUCAAUGGCCGCAGGGCUGAACCAGCCAAGUCGCGUGAGUGAUGACGGUCCUAUGGAUUGUAAACCUCUUUUGUCAGGGAGCAAAGGGCGCCACGUGUGGCGCUUUGCGAGUACCUGACGAAAAAGCAUCGGCUAACUCCGUGCCAGCAGCCGCGGUAAUACGGAGGAUGCGAGCGUUAUCCGGAUUUAUUGGGUUUAAAGGGUGCGCAGGCGGAAUGUCAAGUCAGCGGUAAAAUUUCGGGGCUCAACCCCGUCGUGCCGUUGAAACUGGCGUUCUUGAGUGAGCGAGAAGUAUGCGGAAUGCGUGGUGUAGCGGUGAAAUGCAUAGAUAUCACGCAGAACUCCGAUUGCGAAGGCAGCAUACCGGCGCUCAACUGACGCUCAUGCACGAAAGCGUGGGUAUCGAACAGGAUUAGAUACCCUUGUAGUC